Molecule: ribosomal RNA, 292 nt
Filed under: uncultured bacterium
Lineage: Bacteria
Description: partial 16S ribosomal RNA
Rfam family: Bacterial small subunit ribosomal RNA
Source: RNAcentral
GUGCCAGCAGCCGCGGUAAUACGGAGGGUGCAAGCGUUGUCCGGAUUUAUUGGGUUUAAAGGGUGCGUAGGCGGCUUCUUAAGUCAGUGGUGAAAUCCUGCAGCUCAACUGUAGAACAGCCAUUGAUACUGAGAAGCUUGAGUACAGACGAGGUAGGCGGAAUUUAUGGUGUAGCGGUGAAAUGCAUAGAUACCAUAAAGAACACCUAUUGCGAAGGCAGCUUACUAGGCUGUAACUGACGCUGAGGCACGAAAGUGUGGGGAUCAAACAGGAUUAGAUACCCUGGUAGUCC